CAUUCGUACGUAUAUUAGCCGUAUCUAGAAACAACCGGCAACUUCCGUGCUAGUGGAGGCAAUUUUCUGAAUAUUUUUACAACUUAAAUAAAUGCUUUAUUGUAUGAAGUAGUUAUGUUACGAAUGCGGAACUGACUUUUUAUUGUCUGACAGAAGAAAUAGUUUUAUCCUGGAUAGCCCAAUCCUUACAUUGAUGUUGGGAGCAUGCGAUUAAUCGGAGAGCUAGAAGUAUAAUAGUGCUCGGACUGAUAUUUCGGAUACGGUUUGACAUCUACAAAAAUCAACAUUAUAAUUAAUGCAAUCAAGUAAUAAUAAGAGAAUAUGGAAGAAAAUUGAAGAUUUAUAUUCAAUACACUGCUGAUGAGGUUUCAAAACAGUUAAAAACCUCCAAUUUACAAAUAUACACUCAAGAAAAAGAUGGGUACAAAUCAUUCACCUGGAUUCAGGACUUGUUCUUCUAAAAACUUACGCAUACUCAAGAUAUUGAAGAUUGGUUUGGAAACUCUCAUUAACAGAAGGAAUAAACAACAAAACAGAAUUUUUUUAUUGGCCAUUGACUUAGUUAAUGAAACGUCAUACUCAUUAUAAAUGUGAAAUCAAUGACAUUUGUUGACAAUUUGAAAAAAAAAAACAACAAAAAAACAACAUACUAACAUAUGGUAUUGAUAUCCUUGCAAUAGUGAAAAAGUGACAUCAUUUGAAAAAGUGUGAUUGCAAUUACAGACAGAAGUGAUCUAUUGAAGAUCUUGAAAAGUGUAAAUACUAAGUGACAACAUAACUAAGUUAUAAUCUUUGGAAGUGUGAAUACUUAUUACAUCAGUGAUAAUCUUGGAAGACUCUUUAUGUUUUUAUCACUUUUAUAAAUCCAUGAACUCAUUCUUCAUGAAAUAAACUUUCAUCCUGAAUUCAAUAUAUUUUGUAAAAUAAAGUUAUAAACUUU
Ruditapes philippinarum (Manila clam) is the source of this 940-nucleotide long non-coding RNA. RefSeq lists it as uncharacterized. The transcript has 2 exons. The record is from RefSeq and is a predicted model, not a curated record. Lineage: Eukaryota; Metazoa; Mollusca; Bivalvia; Venerida; Veneridae.